AACGAACGCUGGCGGCAUGCCUAACACAUGCAAGUCGAACGAUGCUUUCGGGCAUAGUGGCGCACGGGUGCGUAACGCGUGGGAAUCUGCCCUUGGGUUCGGAAUAACAGUGAGAAAUUGCUGCUAAUACCGGAUGAUGUCUUCGGACCAAAGAUUUAUCGCCCAGGGAUGAGCCCGCGUAGGAUUAGCUAGUUGGUGGGGUAAUGGCCUACCAAGGCGACGAUCCUUAGCUGGUCUGAGAGGAUGAUCAGCCACACUGGGACUGAGACACGGCCCAGACUCCUACGGGAGGCAGCAGUGGGGAAUAUUGGACAAUGGGCGCAAGCCUGAUCCAGCAAUGCCGCGUGAGUGAUGAAGGCCUUAGGGUUGUAUAGCUCUUUUACCCGGGAUGAUAAUGACAGUACCGGGAGAAUAAGCUCCGGCGAACUCCGU
This 432-nucleotide ribosomal RNA is filed under the name uncultured bacterium. Its description in RNAcentral is "partial 16S ribosomal RNA". It matches the Rfam family "Bacterial small subunit ribosomal RNA", at positions 29 to 506 of the family's 1533-position model. The record is from RNAcentral.